Carassius gibelio (silver crucian carp) is the source of this 192-nucleotide long non-coding RNA. RefSeq lists it as uncharacterized. NCBI's taxonomy places the organism in Eukaryota, Metazoa, Chordata, Actinopteri, Cypriniformes, Cyprinidae. The transcript has 2 exons. The record is from RefSeq and is a predicted model, not a curated record.
GCUUUAUCUGUCAGUUGAAGAGUUUUACUGUUACAUCCAUGAGAUUAAUAAAUGUCAUGUCACGUCACAGGUUGUCAUAGGUCAGUAUCAAAUGAGUUUGAAAUUAUUUUUUGCAGCACAAAUUAGGGUUCUUAGGAUGUUGUUAAAUCCUUAAAACUGACAGAAAAGGAUAAGGCCUAAGAGAUUUCUUAA